UCAUCCUGUAAUCCUUGAGAUUCGGUCAGGGAGCAUCCACCCCCGAGCCUAAUUCGGGGUAACCAGGGGAA
This 71-nucleotide non-coding RNA is filed under the name Elusimicrobiota bacterium. RNAcentral describes it as "Elusimicrobia bacterium 47-dG-II sequence". It matches the Rfam family "2dG-II purine riboswitch aptamer". From Rfam's summary of the family: Purine riboswitch variant that recognize 2'-deoxyguanosine Lineage: Bacteria; Pseudomonadati; Elusimicrobiota. The record is from RNAcentral.